RNAcentral lists this ribosomal RNA (524 nucleotides) under uncultured eukaryote. RNAcentral's name for it is "bacterial SSU rRNA". It matches the Rfam family "Eukaryotic small subunit ribosomal RNA", at positions 38 to 538 of the family's 1831-position model. The record is from RNAcentral.
CUGAGACUAAGCCAUGCAUGUCUAAGUAUAAACAAAUUUGUACUGUAAAACUGCGGACGGCUCAUUAAAUCAGUUACAAUCUACUUGAUCGUAUAUUCAAAGAAUUAAUCGGGUAACCCUAGUAAUUCUAGAGCUAAUACGUGCAAAAAGCUCCGACCUCUUCUUUUAGGGGAAAGAGUGUAUUUAUUAGGUAACUUAAAACCAAUCAGCCCAAAAGGCUGUUUUGUUGAUGAUUCAUAAUAACUUUGCAAAAUCGCGGGCCAAUGUCUGCGAUGAUACAAACGAGUUUCUGACCUAUCAACUUUAGAUGGCAGGAUAGGGGCUUGCCAUGGUGACAACGGGUGACGGGGAAUUAGGGUUCGAUUCCGGAGAGGGAGCAUGAGAAAUGGCUACUAUUUCUAAGGAAAGCAGCAGGCGCGUAAAUUAUUCAAUGGGAAUAUCUUCCCGAAAUAGUAGACAAAAAAUACUAAAUGUAUUGAAUUUUAUUCAGUACAAUUGGAAUGGAACAAUCCAAAACCCUUAUU